AGCAGCCGCGGUAAUUCCAGCUCCAAUAGCGUAUAUUAAAGUUGUUGCAGUUAAAAAGCUCGUAGUUGAAUUUCGGAAUCAGUACGCUGGUCGUGCCUUCGGUAUGUACUGGUGUCACUGGUUUCUCCCUUCUGAAGAACCAUCAUGCCAUUUACUUGGUGUGGUGGGGAGUCAGGACUGUUACUUUGAAAAAAUUAGAGUGUUUAAAGCAGGCUCGCGCUUGAAUACAUUAGCAUGGAAUAAUGAAAUAGGACGUUAAUCCUAUUUUGUUGGUUUCUAGGAUCGACGUAAUGAUUAAUAGGGAUAGUUGGGGGCAUUAGUACUCAAUUGUCAGAGGUGAAAUUCUUGGAUUUAUUGAAGACUAACUACUGCGAAAGCAUUUGCCAAGGAUGUUUUCAUUAAUCAAGAACGAAAGUUAGGGGAUCGAAGACG
RNAcentral lists this small RNA (432 nucleotides) under uncultured Glomus. RNAcentral's name for it is "SSU rRNA". It matches the Rfam family "Eukaryotic small subunit ribosomal RNA", at positions 569 to 1006 of the family's 1831-position model. Lineage: Eukaryota; Fungi; Glomeromycota; Glomeromycetes; Glomerales; Glomeraceae. The record is from RNAcentral.